GUCGAAGAUUUAUCUCACGAGUGAGUGCGUGUUCCACUUUCACGUCAUACCAAGUGUGACCAGAUGCGAUAGACGUUCGAGCAGUUUGAGUUCGGGCAAAAGAUACACAGCCCUGUUUCAGCUGAGCUUGCCCAUAGAGGGAGCUCAAUGUAACAGGAUGGGCAAACCUAAAAAGCAUAAAUCAUAAUUUAUGUAAAAUGUGCUAUAUAAGAAGCGGAAAAGAAGGGUUCUCCCUCUUUAAACCAGUGAUCCUUGAAAGAAGUUGUAGUGCGCGCGUGUUUAAUUUGUAAAAGGAUUUGUUAAUUGUGUUAGUCGUUAAAAGCAAAAGUAUGUUGAUAAUUGUUGUUAGAAAGUACGGAUAUUAGUUGUGUUAAUUGAUUAGUACGUUGAAAUCCCGUUAACCACAAUAAGAACGACAAAAACGACAGUAACAAACAAACUAAAAAACCACCAAGAAAAAGGUCCAUGCCAAAGGGACCUUUUUCUUUUGUACCUUUUUUCCAAGGUCUCGAGAGUGCAGUGCCACAGUGGUGAUUUCCGGGAAGAUUUGGCGAGUGCCCGUUGGCUUGGAUAAAGCAACGUCAUCGCUGGCCGAAGUGUGGCCGCCAUCUUCUAACACCGAUACGGAAAAUCCACGUCAUCAAUCUCGCACGGCAACACUCGUCCCGUC
This is a long non-coding RNA of Armigeres subalbatus, 670 nucleotides long. RefSeq lists it as uncharacterized. The transcript is spliced from 4 exons. NCBI's taxonomy places the organism in Eukaryota, Metazoa, Arthropoda, Insecta, Diptera, Culicidae. The record is from RefSeq and is a predicted model, not a curated record.